UGCCAGCAGCCGCGGUAACACGUAAGGUGCGAGCGUUGUUCGGAAUUAUUGGGCGUAAAGGGCUCGUAGGCGGCCUGCCAAGUCCCACGUGAAAGACCAGGGCUCAACCCUGGGAACGCGAGGGAAACUGGUAAGCUGGAAUCUUGGAGGGGGUACUGGAAUUCCUAGUGUAGGGGUGAAAUCUGUUGAUAUUAGGAAGAACACCGGAGGCGAAGGCGAGUACCUGGCCAAAGAUUGACGCUGAUGAGCGAAAGCGUAGGGAGCGAACAGGAUUAGAUA
This 279-nucleotide ribosomal RNA is filed under the name uncultured bacterium. RNAcentral describes it as "partial 16S ribosomal RNA". It matches the Rfam family "Bacterial small subunit ribosomal RNA", at positions 506 to 784 of the family's 1533-position model. The record is from RNAcentral.